This is a non-coding RNA of Triticum urartu, 86 nucleotides long. The record is from Rfam. Lineage: Eukaryota; Viridiplantae; Streptophyta; Magnoliopsida; Poales; Poaceae.
AGCCAGUGAUGUUUUCAAAAUAUUUGCUACUCUUGAUGGGGCAACGACCUCAUUUGACGAUCACAACCACCAAGAUCUCUGAGGCC